RNAcentral lists this ribosomal RNA (433 nucleotides) under uncultured bacterium. RNAcentral describes it as "partial 16S ribosomal RNA". It matches the Rfam family "Bacterial small subunit ribosomal RNA", at positions 29 to 507 of the family's 1533-position model. The record is from RNAcentral.
AACGAACGCUGGCGGCAUGCCUAACACAUGCAAGUCGAACGAGACCUUCGGGUCUAGUGGCGCACGGGUGCGUAACGCGUGGGAACCUGCCCUUAGGUUCGGAAUAACUCCCCGAAAGGGGUGCUAAUACCGGAUAAUGUCUUCGGACCAAAGAUUUAUCGCCUUUGGAUGGGCCCGCGUUGGAUUAGCUAGUUGGUAGGGUAAAAGCCUACCAAGGCGACGAUCCAUAGCUGGUCUGAGAGGAUGAUCAGCCACACUGGGACUGAGACACGGCCCAGACUCCUACGGGAGGCAGCAGUGGGGAAUAUAGGACAAUGGGCGAAAGCCUGAUCCAGCAAGGCCGCGUGAGUGAUGAAGGCGUUAGGGUAGUAAAGCUCUUUUACCCGGGAUGAUAAUGACAGUACCGGGAGAAUAAGCUCCGGCUAACUCCGUG